GCAAAAAGAUAAAUCAUACUUUAAAUUAAAAUAAACAGCACAACAUCCACGUGGCACAAUCUCCACUAUCUGCCAUUUUCCGUACAAUCAAAUGGACCACACGUGCCACACGUUUACCGCGAAACUCUUUUAGCGGUUCUCGCUCGCCGCCGCCUGCUCCUCACAUUCCGACCGAUUCACAAAAACAAAAAAAUAGGAACAUAUUUACUAUUCGAAUAACUCCCUCUCGUUACGAUUAAUCA
RNAcentral lists this unclassified non-coding RNA (242 nucleotides) under Hevea brasiliensis (rubber tree). Lineage: Eukaryota; Viridiplantae; Streptophyta; Magnoliopsida; Malpighiales; Euphorbiaceae. The record is from RNAcentral.